Long non-coding RNA from Zootermopsis nevadensis, 1889 nucleotides. RefSeq lists it as uncharacterized. Lineage: Eukaryota; Metazoa; Arthropoda; Insecta; Blattodea; Termopsidae. The record is from RefSeq and is a predicted model, not a curated record.
GUUGCCUGCACUGCAGCGGGCGGUCGGGUGCGUUCGAAUGGCGUACUAUGACGACUCGUAGGCGGAGCUCCACCCAGUUCGAGCGGGCUGGCAGGAGUUUGUUAUCGGCCGGCGUCCCAGUCACCAGCCGUCAAACGCGGUUGGAUUUCCAGGGACUCGCAAAUGGUGUUCGCUACAAUCCCUAUGUUUUUAUUUACAAGAAAUGUUUAUGCCGAACUUUCCAUGAUUCUGAGUUAUACACUGAAGAUUCAGGCGAAAUGUUAAUCCAGAACAUUGGUAAACUAUCUACAAAACUACAAGGUUCAUUUUCUGCCCUAGUUCACGUACCCUAACACGAGUAAGAGGGAAAGAACCUGUCGCCGAGUUACAAGCUGAUCUUGACUGAUGCUCUAACCUCGGAAAUACACAGGCCUACUCUUCGGAGUACACUCACGCUAUGGCCCAGGGAAUUCGUGCACAGCAAAAGUCAAAUGUAUUCUUACAUCACAUCACGAGAGACGACUUUAGCAGGACAAUCAAGGAAAUAAACGCAACAAUGGUAUAAGAAACUGUGGUAUCGAAGGUGUUUCAACAAUAUGACCCAAGGUAAUUAUUUCAGCGAUUUGAUACAUUAUUGUUGCAUCAUUGUAAUUCAAGGUCAUUGCAAAAGUGUGAUCCAAGAACACUUGUAACAAUGUGAUGUGAAACGCGAAAGUUAGACAGCAUGGACAAGCAUGUCAGCUUAAGCUAAACCAUAAUGAUCUCCAAAAAGCUUGUACGCUCGCAUAAAUAUUCAUCAAAGGGACGUCUCAAAAUAAAGCGGAAGAUACUUUAUCACAUGAGCAAUGUCAGCGAGAAUGUAAAAUGGUUGCAAGUUUUUCUUCAGAUCGCGGAAAGUCGUUACAUAAUUAUUACAGUUCAAACGAGUUCGUCUCUUAAACAAUUACGGAACAACAUACGCCUACAAACAUUAAAAGAAGUUGGAUCGGAAACAUCAUGUAACACACCUUCGCAAGGAAUGAUUUAUGUCUAGGGAUGACGUGCGUAUUAGCCUAUUGCCGAUAGAGGUGAGUUCAGUGAGUUAUGUUUGUGUAGUGAGGAUUUCUCGACAGAUGUUGUUGGCAGUUAAUGUGUCACGUGUUUAAUAUGAUGGCUGUGUGAUUCACAGAGGAUUCAGCUGUGAAAUUAUACGAAUUCGUAUAUGACUGUCAGUAACUCACAACCUAUACCCACGAGACAAUGUUGAAAGAUCGGACUCCAGAAGGGAAACACUAAGAAGAUCCGAUAUACUUAGUUUCGUUAAUUAACAACGCUGUUUAAAAUUAAUAGUUGGUGUAAUUUAGAAUGAGAUUUGAAGAUGAUCAUGAAUGGUGAGUGAGUGAGAGGUUUUGGGAGGAGUUGGUUGUUUCCUGCUUCUACGACUGUCUGGAGUGAGUGACAGGCUGACUGGCUUAGUAAACCGUCAGUCAGAAUAGUCGGUAACCCGAUGAAGAUUCGAAAUGAACACUCCUGAAUACAAGUUCAGAUAAUUCUCAUCAGUAAGACAAUUGAGGCUCAUACAUUUUGCAUGAGCUCAUUUUGGCUUUGUGACACGUAAACAUUAUAUACCUUAUAAUUAAAAUGUGGGUACUACGAAAAGGUGUAACAUAGCUUAGUAGGGAAAUCGUGUAGACUAAUGUUGUAGCCUACAGAAUGUUUUCAUUGUUAGCAUUUCAUUACCUCGUGCUCACUGGUUAGGAAUUCAAUUGUUCUCUAUGCAAGAGAGGAUGUAACGAAUUUAUAAUAAUCUAGAUUAUUCGUGUACUGUACCAAAGCCUGAUCUUGUAUAAGAGACGAACCCUAUCUGAAAGGUGUUGUUUCUGAUGACAGAACAAAGAAACACCUUCUCAUCAACCCGUUAAUACUUUAAG